CGCGGAAGUGGGAGACGGCACGCGCCUUGGCCUUGCGGCGGCCGACCUUCAUCCGUACGGACUGGACGCCCGCGACC
Molecule: transfer RNA, 77 nt
Filed under: Streptomyces kronopolitis
Lineage: Bacteria; Bacillati; Actinomycetota; Actinomycetes; Kitasatosporales; Streptomycetaceae
Description: tRNA-Arg
Source: RNAcentral